UACAGAGGUGCCGAGCGUUAGGCGGAAUCACUGGGCUUAAAGCGUGUGUAGGCGGACUUCUAAGUACCUUGUGAAAUCCCACGGCUUACCCGUGGAACUGCUGGGUAUACUGGUCGUCUUGAGCCACCUAGGGGCCAGCGGAACAAAUGGUGGAGCGGUGAAAUGCGUAGAUAUCAUUUGGAACGCCAACGGUGAAAAACAGCUGGCUGGGGGGUGUGCUGACGCUGAGACACGAAAGCCAGGGGAGCGAACGGGG
This 256-nucleotide ribosomal RNA is filed under the name uncultured bacterium. RNAcentral describes it as "partial 16S ribosomal RNA". It matches the Rfam family "Bacterial small subunit ribosomal RNA", at positions 524 to 777 of the family's 1533-position model. The record is from RNAcentral.